Long non-coding RNA from Lycium barbarum (goji berry), 2211 nucleotides. RefSeq lists it as uncharacterized. The transcript is spliced from 2 exons. The record is from RefSeq and is a predicted model, not a curated record. NCBI's taxonomy places the organism in Eukaryota, Viridiplantae, Streptophyta, Magnoliopsida, Solanales, Solanaceae.
AUAUUCUUAUCUUUUCGGUGGUGGUCAUGAGAUUUGUAUUAAGUACUCCAUCUGCUUACUUUGAUACCAUACCAUAUUGAAGUGUGCAGGGCGGAGGGAGAAAGGGCCAAGGGGGUUCCGAAUCCCUUUUUGCUGAAAAUUAUACUAUUUAUACAUGAUAAAAAUUAUUUUUUAUGUAUAUAUAGUAGACGUUGAACCUCUUUUGGCUUCUUUGUGUGUUUACUUUUUCAUAUUUUGAACCCCCUUAGUGAAAAUUUUAUCUCCGUCACUGGUGUGUGACCAUCUCAUCCAAACGAUUAAAGUGUUAGAGAGAGAAUUAUUUCUAUUUAUUAAAUUGUAUGUCUCAAUACCGGCUUCUUAUGUGUGAGCCUGAUUUUUUUUCAUUAGUCAAAUACAUGGAAAAUUAUUCUUGUUUUUUUUUUUUUUGUGUGGCGAAGAGAUUUGAACACAUGACCUUAUCUAUCUGUUUUAUAUGUCAUAUAAAAGUUUAAGCUGUUAGAGAGAACACACUUUUAUUUACUUAAUUAUAUACAUAUGUCUCAGCACACGCGCGCUCUACGUGUGGCUGGCUUGAUUCUUUUCAUGAGUAGAACAUAUGGACAAAUAUCUUUUGAUACGUGUCAUAUUGAAGUGUGUGACUACCUAAUUUAAGAAUUCGAGAAAUCACAAUUUUAUUUACUUAAUUAUAAUAAAUGUCUCAUCAAAACCCGUUACAUGUGAUUGUGAUUUCUCUGUGGCCAUGUUCUACCAAUGCUGCCAAUUUUUUUCCUAACGCUGACUAGCUUGUCAAUUUAUCAUCAUCCGCAUAGAUUAAUUUUCCACAUUGACUUGAUCAACUUAAGAUAUCAUCAGUAUAGCUCUUGUGGUCCUCAUCCUCCUGGAGUUUUUAUAAAUUGGUAACUUAGGUGAUCAGCUGAUUUUUCAUAUUGCACCUUAAAAAUAUUAGAAAGAAGUUGUCACGAAAAAUUGCUUCUUGAAACUCAUAAUAGUACGUGCACAACUAAAUAUGGAGGCAAGAUGCUUAUAUGUUACUGUUCACUCUGCUAGCGACCUCCCAGAUGUCCGAGAGUUGGGUCGAAUGAAAGUUUAUGCGAAGGUUACAGUAGCAGGAAAGAGCAAGUGCACAGAAGUGGAUCUUGAGAACGAGACGAAUCCUAAGUGGAAUACCACACUUGAUUUCUUUGUGCCAAUGAAAGAAAUCAUACAAGAAGGGGGUAAAAUUUCUGCAAAAAUUGAGUUGUUUAAAGGACUAUCUUAUCCGAUAAAUAUGUUGGCGAGUUAGACAUCGCUGUACAAUCUAAUUGUAAAUGUACUGAUACUUUUACUGUACCAGUGAAGACGUGUUGUUCAGAUAAUAGUUUUGGGACUUUGAAGUAUUCAUGUGUUUUAGGAGAUAUCCACCUUGUAACAGAGCCGCCAUCGUCCAAGAAGAUCAAUCACGAAAUUGCAGAAUCUCUAGUGAAAGUAAUGUUAGGGACCUAAUAUAUAUAAGAACUACUUUUGCUUGAAAUAUUUUGAAAUCUAUUAUGAAUGAGCCUGAACUAGUAUUAGCAAAGCAGCCCAUCACCAGAUUAAGGGUGUGUUUCGGUAUGAAGGUAAAUGUAUUUAGGAAAACAAGAGGGUUUCUUACUUAUUUUCAUGUGUUCAGUACAUAAGUUAAGAAUAUAUUAUCCUAAAAGGCAUUUGUAUACAGUCUAGAGAGAAAUACUAUGGAGGUGGGUGGGUGUGUGUGUGGGAUGAAGAUGAGGCGCGCUCGAGGGUGGGGAGGAGACAAUUAAUGUGGAAUGACACUGUGGAACUUGUUCCAUUAGAGAAGUCAUUUUCCUCAUUUUUAAGAAACUUAUUUUCCUAGAGAAAAUGUUUCUCAAAAUUUUUGACUAACCAAAGAUGAAAAAAUUGGAAAAUAUUUUCCUACAUACCGCACACCCUAAGUGGUUAUGUCAGGGUCCGGGUUGAUAAAUAGCGACUUGUGAGAGCAAAAUAGGUGGAUGCAUAUUAUGUUGAAGUUUUGGCUCAGUGUGUUACGUUAUCCCUCAUCUCCCUUCUAUGUUCUAGUAUCUCAUCUCCCUUCUUCUCUAGUAUCCCUAGCUAUCUUACUUUCAGUAAUUCAAUUGUAAUUCUGUCAUUCAAGUAUCAAUUUAAUUACUAGCUUAUUGUAAUUGAAUAAGUUCCUAUCAAUACAAAUGUUGGGACUUGGGAGUUUGGUUUCUA